This 328-nucleotide ribosomal RNA is filed under the name uncultured Bacteroidota bacterium. RNAcentral describes it as "bacterial SSU rRNA". It matches the Rfam family "Bacterial small subunit ribosomal RNA", at positions 568 to 898 of the family's 1533-position model. Lineage: Bacteria; Pseudomonadati; Bacteroidota. The record is from RNAcentral.
UGCGUAGGCGGCCCUGUAAGUCAGUGGUGAAAUACUCCAGCUUAACUGGAGGGGUGCCAUUGAUACUGCAGGGCUUGAGUGGAGUCGAAGUAGGCGGAAUUGACGGUGUAGCGGUGAAAUGCUUAGAUAUCGUCAAGAACACCGAUAGUGAAGACAGCUUACUAGGCUUCUACUGACGCUGAGGCACGAAAGUGUGGGGAUCAAACAGGAUUAGAUACCCUGGUAGUCCACACUGUAAACGUUGAUUACUCGCUGUUGGCGAUACACUGCCAGCGGCCCAGCGCAAGCGAUAAGUAAUCCACCUGGGGAGUACGCCGGCAACGGUGAA